UACGAAGGGGGCUAGCGUUGCUCGGAAUCACUGGGCGUAAAGCGCACGUAGGCGGCUUUUUAAGUCAGGGGUGAAAUCCUGGAGCUCAACUCCAGAACUGCCUUUGAUACUGAGAAGCUUGAGUCCGGGAGAGGUGAGUGGAACUGCGAGUGUAGAGGUGAAAUUCGUAGAUAUUCGCAAGAACACCAGUGGCGAAGGCGGCUCACUGGCCCGGUACUGACGCUGAGGAGCGAAAGCGUGGGUAGCAAACAGG
Molecule: ribosomal RNA, 253 nt
Filed under: uncultured bacterium
Lineage: Bacteria
Description: partial 16S ribosomal RNA
Rfam family: Bacterial small subunit ribosomal RNA
Source: RNAcentral